AAGCUCGUAGUUGAAUUUCGGGGUCAGACUGUCGGUCGUGCCUCGGUACGCACUGGCAUUAUUGGUUCCUACCUUCUGAAGAACCGCGAUGUCAUUAAUUUGGUGUCGCGGGGAAUCAGGACUGUUACUUUGAAAAAAUUAGAGUGUUUAAAGCAGGCUUACGCUUGAAUACAUUAGCAUGGAAUAAUGAAAUAGGACGUUUGAUUCUAUUUUGUUGGUUUCUAGGAUCGACGUAAUGAUUAAUAGGGAUAGUUGGG
Molecule: ribosomal RNA, 257 nt
Filed under: uncultured Glomus
Lineage: Eukaryota; Fungi; Glomeromycota; Glomeromycetes; Glomerales; Glomeraceae
Description: partial 18S ribosomal RNA
Rfam family: Eukaryotic small subunit ribosomal RNA
Source: RNAcentral